GUGGUGAGGCCCUGGCCCAGGUUGCCCAGGGAAGUUGUGGCUGCCCCAUCCCUGGAGGUGUUCAAGGCCAGGUUGGAUGGGCCUUGGGCAGCCUGAUCCAGUGGGAGGUGUCCCUGCCCAUAUCAGGGGGUUGGAACUGGAUGGGCUUUGAGAUCCCUUCCAACCUAAACUAUUCUAUGAUUCCAUGAUUCUACAUAUGCAUAGGUAGGCACAUUUAUACAUGAAUAUCACCUGUAGAUAUACAGCUGACUCACUGAAGGCUGAAAUGAUUUGGCAGCUCACAUCAGUGCUUCCCUUGCACUUGGGGCAUCAUUUAGGCUGCUAGAAGAAGGAAAGCUGGUAGGGUGCAGGAUGUUAACCCAGCUCCAAAAGCUGCUGGGAGAGCCUUUGCCCCAGUAAAGUCACGGCCCAGGGGCCUCCACAAACCCACAACAGCCCACACUAUUCCAAACAGACAGAAAAGAGAACCAGCCAAGAGGACUGCGCCGUGUGGCACUGCAGUGUGGGGUGGAGCAGAAGUGACCAGGGCUGUGUCACUGAAGUGACUUAUUACAUCCUCCAGCAAACUGGAUUUUACCAGAGGUGUUUCUGGUCUGAAUGCCAUGAUGGCAGUUGUAAGGUAGAACAGCUAAAGGGCACUCACACACACAUACAUUUCCAUCUGUGCUGGUAUAUAUGAGUAUUGGACUCUAUAUACAGAGCAAUCCUGUUUCCCUUUGCAGCAGUGGGGGUCUUCUGCUAUGGUGUGGAAGCAGCACUUUGUCAAAGCAUCACUUUGUCACUGUUUUUCAGCUCCGUGGCCAAGUGGGGUGACAAGAGUUUGGGACAGUGUAGUGGUUUAACCCCAGCUGGCAAGCGAGCACAGUGCAGCAGUUUGCUCUUCUCUCUUCCCUGCAGUGCAAUGGGGAAAAAAAUUAGUAAACCUCGUGUGCUGAGAUAAAGACAGUUUAAUAUGAUGGCAAAAGGGAGAUAAAUAAUGAUGAUGAUAAUAAUAAUAUACCAAACAAGUGAUGUACGGUAUCACUUUUGACCAAAUGACCAAAGUCCACCCUCCCUAACCAACUCCUCAGCUUAUAUACCGAGCAUGAUGUCAUGUGGUGCGGAAUAUCCCUCUGGUCAGCUGUCCUAGCUGUGCUCCCUCCCAGCAUUUUAUUCACCUCCCCAUUGGUAGAACAGGAGAAGGUGAAAAGGCCUUGACUUUGUGUGAAAACUACUUAGCAACAAUUAAAAAAACACCAGGAAAAAAUUAACUCCAUCACAGCUGAAACCAGGACAGACAGAGGAGAUGGUUUGGGGUGAAGCAGGGCUUAACAUUGAGGUUGUGCUUAGGGGAACUGAGGUUUUGGUAGGUGAGAGAUCUUGACCCAUUUCAGUGAGAUGAGUUCAGAGCAGCAGUUGGAGCUGUGACUGCUUGGAAAGCCUUUCAGAAAGCAAUGAUUGUGUUGGUCAAGUACAAUCACAAAUGUGAAAUCAGGGUAUCCUCCCACUUGAACCCUCCCCAGCUAUCCAUGACUGAAAUAUAUAUUCACACAUAGGACUUCAGAGGAGACUCCUUUGGGCUGAUGGACAACUGCUGAAACACAGAGCUGUUGCUUGUCUUUUUAUCUAAUUGACUUGUUAAAAAGGCGUCUGCAAUCAAUUUGGCUGAUAUGCCAACGCUGCAGUGGGCGGUGUUAUUUCCAGGUAUUCUGGCUACUGUAAGGUAGAGGAUGCACACAGUUUGUACUUAAAACAUAUGAAAAUGAACAUUUAGGGGAGUCUGAGCUCAUUUGCACUAUUUAUUUUCUAGGGAAAUGUCACAUACUCAGAAUUAAUGGAUUUUUUUCCCCCUAUCAGUUUAUUUCAGCCAGUUACACUUCUUGGAUCUGUCAUAACGGACAUGAAACAUCUUUACUCAGUGAGCUACUUCAGUAAUUCCCUUCAAAACUUUUCUUUAGAGAAGAUGGCCUUUUUCUCCCUUUUUCUGUGCAAGCAGCAUCCUAUUCACAUGGCAUCCUGCAACAUCUUGUUAAUAAAAAUGUCCCAGCUCUUCCCAAAGCUGAGAGUUUUGCAGUUGGUUAAAUGAAAACAUGGACACUAUCUUUUAGAAUAAAUCUGAAUGGCUGUGCUCUCUGGUGAUUUAACCAAGAUUUAUUUUUUUCUUCCACUUGGACAAGAAACCAGCCUUUUCACGUUGUUUCUCCUCUGUCUUUGCCAGUUACAGAAACAGAAGGACAAGGCACGGAGUAAAGUAAAAGUAAAGAGGCAGGGGAAGGGCAGGGAGGAAACGAGCACUUUCAGCCCCAAAACUAGUUUCAGUUUAAGCAGUGGACAAAAUUUCAGGUUACCUGUUGGUUUUAGCCCUUUCCAAACAACUAUAGAGGCAGGAGAUGCCUUAGACAAAGGGAGCCACUAAAGUGGCAGUGAAAGGGAUUAUCUGUACUGAAACCGCCCACAUGUUGGUUUUUUCCCUCCUAAUCUAUCUGUCUUGGUCUCUUUCUCUCUUUCCUCUUUGCUGCAUAUAAUUUACAGUAAAAACACAGGAAGAUGAAUGAUUUCUUCUGAGGAAAGUACCUGACAAAGAGGUGAAUGAGUAAAGUCAUCAGGCCUUUUGACUUCAUCAGUACCUAAGCAUCCUCAGUGGUUUCAGGCAGAGACGCUGACUUGCAACGAGAUGCCUUUGAAGUGGUUUUUGCCAGUACGUGGCAAGUGGGAGGUACACAAGACUUGAAUUUUUCCCUGUGGCAGUCCAGGCACAGGGAACCCUGAAUCUGUGAAUAACAGCAGCUAUUAGUAGCAUUGCAUGUUGUAACCCCCAAAAUACCUCUUAGCCGUUAACUCAACCGUUAACACAUAACCAUUGCCCAGAGAAGUGGUGGCUGCCCCAUCCCUGGAGGGGUUCAACGCCAGGUUGGAUGGGGCUGAUCCAACAGGAGGUGUCCCUGCCGGGACAGGGGAGUGGAACUGGAUGGGCUUUAAGGUCCCUUCCGACCUAAACUGUUCUAUGAUUCCAUGAUGACACUGUAACUAAUGGCCAUUCUUCACACAGUGUGUGGGCUUUGGGAGACUCCUCUCUGUGUCCAGAGACUGAAAACUUUCCUUUAAAUUACAGAGGUGUUGAAAUGCUCACAUGUGGUUAUAUUUUCCCACUCCAUCCUCUACUUGGGAUGUAAUUUCCACUGCAAAAUGAAAUAGGACUGACUCAUUUUGCAGAAGGAACAUGAUUGACACAAGUCUGGAUGGAGAUUCAUUCUCAACCCUGUGGAAAUUCCUCACCAAGUCUGCCUGUAGCUCCUGAGAGAAUGCAGAAAACAACCAGCAACCAUUCAAGCAACAUCUCAGCCAUCCCAGCUCUGUUCCAGAGGCCUCUGUCAUCUCGUCCACAUUCCUGAAAGGCAGAAGUACGAAGUGGCAAGGUGCCCUUGCAAAGUUCCUGCUGUGUGUCCACAGGGAAAUGUUUUGAUCCAGGCAGACAGUUUUCCUAGCAAAGAUUACUGCUGCAGAGACAGCGACAGCAGCUGGGAAAUUUGGAGUUCUGGACAUAACCACACUAGAAGACAAGAGUGAAGAAUGACGGCAUGUAGACCACUGGAUAUCUGCAGGAUUUCCAAGUGCUGCCAAACAGAGCAGGCACAGACUGAGGCAAAUGAACUCUGUGUGCCAUCUGCCGGCUGCCAGGCUUAAAACGGACAAGGAGAGUGAGGAGGGCUCCUAAGAGAUGCUGGAAUUCAAACUGUAUGAACAGGAGACCUCCGAUGUUUUAUUGAUUCUGUUAAGAACUUUUCCCACUUGCCCAGUCAGGCAUUGCCUGUUGCCACCAGUAAAUCCUCUGCACCAUUCCCGAGCAUUCUCCUAGGCUCUGGUUCUGAAUUCUGCUUAGCGAUGGAAGUGUGCACACUGUGUGGGAUGGUUCCUGGGGGAUGUGUUAUAAAUACCUACAGAAAUCGGACACUUCUGAAAUGUAGCUGUUGAGACUGACUGUUAAUAAAGCCCAGCACACAGGCUUUGAUGCUUCUCUCCACAGCAUUUUCUGUGUCUCCAUACAUUGUUUCCUUCUGUGCUGGGGCUCUCUUGCAGUAAAGCUGCACCCCCCAGCAGUAAAGCUGGUCCCAGUGCACCCCGCAGCGUGCAGGGACCCCACCAGGCUCUACCUUCUGGAGAGAUGAUGAAGUUUCAAUCAAGACCAUGAACAAGAUGGCUCUGGGACAUCACCAUUCCAAAGGGCUAAUGCUCACCUCAAGCUCAGAAAUGCAAGAAUCAAAGAGUUGCAAUUAAAAAUAACAAUAUUAAAAAUAAUUAGCAAGACAUGACCUUAGGGUGAAUGGAAGUAAUACCCUCUCUCUUCCCUUUCCUUCCUUCCGAUUUUAAAGUUGAUAUUUCCUACUUGCACAUACUUUUUUAUACCCUGUGUCAAAUCAAUAACAUCUGACCUUAUCUAACAGCUAGCUCUUCUCGGUAAGUCUUAUCCACAGAGCUGAUCAUAUUUGAUCUGCCUGAAAGAGUUUUCUUUCCCAGCCACCUUCCAGCGAUUGCCGAGGAGGAGGAGGAGGAAAAACACUUGCUGUGUUCAAAAAGUGCAACCUUGAAGGAGGGCAGAGAGACUGGAUUAAAACAAAAGAUCUUUUAUUGUCUUCAACCGAAGAGUAUG
Cuculus canorus (common cuckoo) is the source of this 4627-nucleotide long non-coding RNA. RefSeq lists it as uncharacterized. The transcript has 4 exons. NCBI's taxonomy places the organism in Eukaryota, Metazoa, Chordata, Aves, Cuculiformes, Cuculidae. The record is from RefSeq and is a predicted model, not a curated record.